GAUUUCUAAUAAUAGGAGAAAAAGAUUGUUUAUAUCUGUUAUUCAGUUAUCUUAUAGAAAAUAUUUUAAGUUUUAUAAGAGAGAAAGAAGAGGAGAGGAAAAAGAAAAGAGAAUGGGCUGAACCACAAUCAGCACUUUUAUUCUUGAUUGCACAGCCAAUUGAAAUGAAUAGAAUGGAGCUUUAUUUCGUUUCCUUUUUCUCUUUCAAUGUAUAUACAAUUGAAAAACAAAAAAUAGGUACAAGAAUAUUAUCUUUUUUACCGAUUGAUGUAUAAACAGAUUAGAAUGGAUUAUCAACAUAUAAACAAACGAACGAUCUAUAGACUGCCCGUGCCCACUAUAGUAGAUGAAAUUGUUUGUUGAGCACAAAGAAAGAAAUUAUUAAUUUAGUGUUGAUAUUGCGCGCGAAAAUAAUAAUUACGAAGAUUUAUUAACCUUACGUGCGCGUCUCGAGCGCCACGCAUAUCGUACACUCUUCGGAGUCGGCGAUCAGCUGUGAUAACAUGGCGGGCGUGCUGUUUAUCGUUCAGUCGAUUUAAAUUAAGCACUGAAGAUCCAGAAGGUGAAUCGCGGGCAGUUAUUUGCAUACGCUGACAGCGUAAAUGAUAGUGACGUGUAUUAGGCUGAAUUUUUAAUAGACACGAGAGCGUGUCCUCGUCCACUGUUUUGUCACUUGAUGUUGGACCGUCAAUGAAGUUGCUGUGCCACUGAUGUAUAGUCGAAGACAUUGCGACACUUUAACAGAGAUUACUGGCUCGCUCCGUGAAAACAGCUGACGAACAAUUAUUAGCUUGCGCUGUUUUUAAAAAUUAAAUUUGGACUAGGACGUCCUUUUGGACGCGAAUGCAGAGAAAUGUGCGUUUGAAGAAAUUAGAAACGGCGCUUUCGCAUAUGAAUUUUCUCGUGAACACAUCGAAAAGCUACACUGCUACAAUUGGAACAUAAUCGACGACUCGAUGAUUUAAGAUUAAAAAACAGUUAUGUUUAGUUCACGUUUUAGGAAAAAUGUACUGAUUUUUUUGUCGUAAUCGUUUUGAUAUCGUGUAAUCGCGAGCGUUUCAGUACAUAAAGCGCCGACAAGAAAGACGAGAUAACCGCCUUAAAAUUUCAAGAUAAGCGACAGUUUGAGUGACGUAAAAAAGAACGUUUAUCAUUUGCGUCCCUACAAAAGUUGCAUUACACACUAGCAUAUCUAUAAAAUCUCUUCUGGGAAGUCUCCUAAUCAGUCUUUCCGAAAUCACGCGACUAUCGAAGACUACCCGCGUUGAAAACCAAAUUUGUUGCAAACUAUAGUUUAAAAUAUUUUUUUCAAGUUCUUGAGAAAUUAGGUUUUUACAUUUUAAACAAAUUGCAUGAUUUAUUAAUUAUACAUUUAUGCAAAUAGUACACUAAAAAGAGAAACGGACGUGUGUGAUAAAAUAAUAGGAAAAAAGGAGAAGUUGAGGGCGGCCAAGAUGAUAAAUAAUCAACAUUGUGUGAUUCUUAAUACUGGCGAAACCACUAAUUAUCAUCAACCGGUUUCGGCUAAGCCCUCGGUUGUCUCGGUAUCAAGUAUUGACUCCGACGUCAGCGACAGGAGAGACGUGCGCGAGGAAUUGUACGCCGGAAUAUUUAGGAGACACAGAAAAACUAUAUUGAAAUAUUUGGACAGAUUGCAUGCUCUGAGCCGGAUAUACGCUUUAAUUGCUUUAAGAUUCGAAACACACCAACAAAAGUUUUGGUAAUCUGUUAACUUACUGUAUUUUUCUGCAUUUCGCUGUGCAUUAUGCAACUGCAUUUGAAAUUUUAUCUUAAAUAUGUCGUUUCUCACGUGUCUCACGUCAAAACAUAAUGUUUAUAUUUAUAAUAUUAUGGACAUUUAAAAAUGAGAGAUGCUUUUCAUGCUCACAUAUGUAUAUUGAGAAAGAAUUCUUUUUGUAGAAUUUAAGAAAAUUUUCUGUUAAAAGUAAGAAUUGCUAAUAUUGUCAGUACAAUCCGAAAUGCUCUGUCAAAUCGGUCAAUACCUUAAUGUAUACCUGUCUGUGUUAUUGUUAACGAGCUUAAUAUUUAUUAGAGAUACACAACUGAGGGCAUAUGUAACAGUAUAAGAUUUGUAUAAUAUGAGCUUAAUUACGAAUAUCAAAUUUAUGCCUUAUCACUUAAAACUUGAACAUAUUUUCUAUUUUUAUUGGUUGAUUGUCGAUUGAUCAUCAACAUCUGUUAACUUAAUCGCUCCUCCUUGUUCUAUAUCUGAAUGUUUUUGUACGAUUUUUGUCUUUGUAUCAGAUACUGCCAUUAGAGACUAAAGGUAGACGUAAAUUAACGAGACUACUCUGGAAAACAAUCACGCGUUUAACAAUGUCCGAAGGCAUACCUAAACAAUUUUUUAAUGAGUUUCUAUUUAAUAAGCUAAGCAUGUCGCUAUACUUAGCCGAACCAUUCACUGUCGUAAGACUGAAAUAUGUGCUCUUUUGGAACAUUAAAAAACGUGCCAUAUCUUAGAAAAAACGAUGUUCAAGAGAGAAAGAGGAGAAAAAAGAGAAGUUUUCUUAUGUAUUUACGGAUUUUUGAAAUUGCUGAAUAAUUCUGAGCAUACAUGACGUGGAGUAUAUCUAUGCAUGUACGUUAUGCGAUUGCAAUUAUAUUCUGUAUCUAAGCCAGACACAUAUUUAAUCGAAUCGAAAAGAAUGUUUUGCUUUUGAAAUAAAACGGACGAUGGGAAGUAAAUCAGUUGCGAAUAUUAAUCUAAUUGUAGGAUAUAAAGUUAUUUGAGCAAUUGCGCAGUUAAGUAUACGUAUACAUGUGCGUAUGUGUAUGUAUAUGUACGUGCACUGAUAAUUUUUAUGUAUACAUGAGAUAAUAACGUUAGAAAUAUUCUUUUCGAAAUUAACCGAAAGAUGUAUGUACUUGGAACUUCUGUAUCUUACGGUAUAAUAGCUCUCGCGAACCGAAAAGAAAAAAAAGAUACAUUUGCGUCCCUUAUGCGCAGUUGCUUGUGACCAAUUUUUAAGUAGAGCAAAAAUUUGUACGUUAGUAGCGUUCGUCAUAUCGUUUGCAUAUACUUAAAUAUCGUGAAACAUAAAUAUCUACUAAUUCACGAAACAAGAUUUUCAUUAAACAAGGGAGGAAGAGGAGAAGCGAGGUUUAUAUUUUACAUUCGAUCAAGAAUCUAUGUAAUUUUUGUAAUGAACAAUUGUUCUAAUAAUGCCCUAAAUAAUGCGUUGUUGUAUUGGGAGAAAAAAAAUUUGUAUUAGAUAUCACUUUGUACAACGUAUCAUUAGAACGUAUGUAAGAUCACACUCAAUAAAGUAUUCAUAUUAUGUUUAAUAAA
RNAcentral lists this unclassified non-coding RNA (3310 nucleotides) under Monomorium pharaonis (pharaoh ant). Its description in RNAcentral is "uncharacterized LOC105834380, transcript variant X1". Lineage: Eukaryota; Metazoa; Arthropoda; Insecta; Hymenoptera; Formicidae. The record is from RNAcentral.